This 418-nucleotide unclassified non-coding RNA is filed under the name soil metagenome. RNAcentral describes it as "partial contains 5.8S ribosomal RNA, internal transcribed spacer 2, and large subunit ribosomal RNA". The stretch from base 1 to 120 matches the Rfam family "5.8S ribosomal RNA", at positions 35 to 154 of the family's 154-position model. The record is from RNAcentral.
GAUGAAGAACGUAGCGAAAUGCGAUACGUAAUGUGAAUUGCAGAAUUCAGUGAAUCAUCGAAUCUUUGAACGCACAUUGCACUCUCUGGUAUUCCGGAGAGUAUGCUUGUUUGAGUAUCAGUAAACACCUCAAAUCUCUUGUUUCUUGUGAAUAAGAGAAUUGGACUUGAGCAAUCCCAACUCUUGCAAAAGAGGCGGGUUGCUUGAAAUGCAGGUGCAGCUGGACAUUCUUCUGAGCUAAAAGCAUAUUUAUUUAGUCCCGUAAAACGGAUUAUUACUUUUGCUGCAGCUAACAUAAAGGUUGAAUGGCCAAUAUGGCUGACUGAUGCAGGAUUAACAGAGAAUUUAUUCUUUGUAAACUCGAUCUCAAAUCAAGUAAGACUACCCGCUGAACUUAAGCAUAUCAAUAAGCGGAGGA